Molecule: ribosomal RNA, 460 nt
Filed under: uncultured bacterium
Lineage: Bacteria
Description: partial 16S ribosomal RNA
Rfam family: Bacterial small subunit ribosomal RNA
Source: RNAcentral
CCUACGGGAGGCAGCAGUGAGGAAUAUUGGUCAAUGGACGAGAGUCUGAACCAGCGAAGUAGCGUGAAGGAUGACUGCCCUAUGGGUUGUAAACUUCUUUUAUAAAGGAAUAAAACGAGGCACGUGUGCCUUUUUGCAUGUACUGUAUGAAUAAGGAUCGGCUAACUCCGUGCCAGCCGCCGCGGUAAUACGGAGGAGCCGAGCGUUAUGCGGAUUUAUUGGGUUUAAAGGGAGCGUAGAUGGGUUGUUAAGUCAGUUGUGAAAGUUUGCGGCUCAACCGUAAAAUUGCAAUUGAUACUGGCAGUCUUGAGUACAGGUGAGGUAAGCGGAAUUCGUGGUGUAGCGGUGAAAUGCUUAGAUAUCACGAAGAACCCCGAUUGCGAAGGCAGCUUACUAAACUGUGACUGACAUUGAUGCUCGAAAGUGUGGGUAUCAAACAGGAUUAGAUACCCCAGUAGUC